ACGAACGCUGGCGGCGUGCUUAACACAUGCCAGUCGAACGGAAAGGCCCUGCUUGCAGGGUACUCGAGUGGCGAACGGGUGAGUAACACGUGGGUGAUCUGCCCUGCACUUCGGGAUAAGCCUGGGAAACUGGGUCUAAUACCGGAUACGACCUUCCAUGUAGUGUGGGGGGUGGAAAGAUUUAUCGGUGUGGGAUGAGCCCGCGGCCUAUCAGCUUGUUGGUGGGGUAAUGGCCUACCAAGGCGUCGACGGGUAGCCGGCCUGAGAGGGUGGACGGCCACAUUGGGACUGAGAUACGGCCCAGACUCCUACGGGAGGCAGCAGUGGGGAAUAUUGCACAAUGGGCGGAAGCCUUAUGCAGCGACGCCGCGUGGGGGAUGACGGCCUUCGGGUUGUAAACCUCUUUCGACAGGGACGAAGCUUCGGUGACGGUACCUGUAUAAGAAGCACCGGCUAACUACGUG
This 464-nucleotide ribosomal RNA is filed under the name uncultured bacterium. RNAcentral's name for it is "partial 16S ribosomal RNA". It matches the Rfam family "Bacterial small subunit ribosomal RNA", at positions 29 to 507 of the family's 1533-position model. The record is from RNAcentral.